Non-coding RNA from Camellia sinensis, 625 nucleotides. The record is from RefSeq and is a predicted model, not a curated record. NCBI's taxonomy places the organism in Eukaryota, Viridiplantae, Streptophyta, Magnoliopsida, Ericales, Theaceae.
UCAUGCAGAACACACAUAGACCCCUCUCGUUUUGCUUUGAAAGUCAGAGGUGUUUCCGACUCAUUUCCUAACAACGCAUCAACCGGUGUUCAAAUUUGUUUUGUGCUCUGUAAAAUUCUCUCAUUGUGAAAAACCCUUUUAUUUAUUUUUAUUUUUAAGUUUUAAUUUUCCAGACUCGACCGAAAAAGGAGGACGAACCAGCUGUGUGUGGUGGCAAUCGAAAUCGAAAUAAAAAUAGACAUAGAAAGAGAUGGGUGUUUUCGAAGAGAUUGGAGCCGAUAUUAGAUGACAAUUGUAGUUGUUGAUGUAAUAAGCAAGGGCCUGUGUUUGAGAUAAGGGGUGGAAGUUCUUUUGGAUGAAUUUUGUGUUUUUAGUUUCUAUUAUUAUAUACUUUUGAAUCGAAUGGAGCAUUUUAUGAUUGAUGCCAAUGGGUUGGACGACAGUUCCGAUAUUGAAGUGGACGAGAUAAGGUGUGAGAAUAUCACAGAUAAAGAUGUCAGUGAUGAAGAAAUUGAUGCAGAAGACUUGGAGAGGCGAAUGUGGAAGGACCGUAUCAAACUUAAGAGGAUCAAGGAAAGACAGAAGCUUGCAGCCCAGCAAGCUGCAGAGAAGCAGAAGCCAAAGC